Molecule: ribosomal RNA, 559 nt
Filed under: Streptosporangium sp. 419B06
Lineage: Bacteria; Bacillati; Actinomycetota; Actinomycetes; Streptosporangiales; Streptosporangiaceae
Also listed under: 4 other names
Description: bacterial SSU rRNA
Rfam family: Bacterial small subunit ribosomal RNA
Source: RNAcentral
GAGCGGCGAACGGGUGAGUAACACGUGAGUAACCUGCCCCUGACUUCGGGAUAAGCCUGGGAAACUGGGUCUAAUACCGGGUAUGACCCUUCAUGGCAUCGUGGGGGGUGGAAAGUUUUUCGGUUGGGGAUGGGCUCGCGGCCUAUCAGCUUGUUGGUGGGGUAGUGGCCUACCAAGGCGACGACGGGUAGCCGGCCUGAGAGGGCGACCGGCCACACUGGGACUGAGACACGGCCCAGACUCCUACGGGAGGCAGCAGUGGGGAAUAUUGCGCAAUGGGCGGAAGCCUGACGCAGCGACGCCGCGUGGGGGAUGACGGCCUUCGGGUUGUAAACCUCUUUCAGCAGGGACGAAGUUGACGUGUACCUGUAGAAGAAGCGCCGGCUAACUACGUGCCAGCAGCCGCGGUAAUACGUAGGGCGCGAGCGUUGUCCGGAAUUAUUGGGCGUAAAGAGCUCGUAGGUGGCUUGUCGCGUCUGCCGUGAAAGCUCAUGGCUUAACUGUGGGUCUGCGGUGGAUACGGGCUGGCUAGAGGUAGGUAGGGGCAAGCGGAAUUCCU